This is a long non-coding RNA of Pogoniulus pusillus (Red-fronted tinkerbird), 365 nucleotides long. RefSeq lists it as uncharacterized. NCBI's taxonomy places the organism in Eukaryota, Metazoa, Chordata, Aves, Piciformes, Lybiidae. The record is from RefSeq and is a predicted model, not a curated record. The transcript is spliced from 2 exons.
GCGGAGCAGCCACUCGCCCCUCAGAGCCAUGCUGGGCUUUCGGCGAGGCUCAGCGCUGCUGGGCACCCUGCUGCGGACCCCGCGGAGCCCCCCACGGGCACCGCUCAGCUCCAAGCCGCCCGAGCACCAGCUCUCUGCUGCUGAGCAAGCCAUCGCGCUGUCAGCCAUGUUCUUGUCCUUCCUGGGACCAUCUGCCUGGGUCCUGGCACACGUGGAGCACUACAAGAGCAGGACAGAGUAAGGAUGGCAAGAACCUGUGCCCUGUGGGGAGCAGAAGCAUGAGCGUGGGUCAGAGCACCGAAGAGACCUGCACCAAGGAUGGACACUCCUAGCUUGGUCAUUAAAGGUCACAGUGCUCAGCUUGA